UGACUGGGGCGGUCUCCUCCUAAAGAGUAACGGAGGAGCACGAAGGUUGGCUAAUCCUGGUCGGACAUCAGGAGGUUAGUGCAAUGGCAUAAGCCAGCUUGACUGCGAGCGUGACGGCGCGAGCAGGUGCGAAAGCAGGUCAUAGUGAUCCGGUGGUUCUGAAUGGAAGGGCCAUCGCUCAACGGAUAAAAGGUACUCCGGGGAUAACAGGCUGAUACCGCCCAAGAGUUCAUAUCGACGGCGGUGUUUGGCACCUCGAUGUCGGCUCAUCACAUCCUGGGGCUGAAGUAGGUCCCAAGGGUAUGGCUGUUCGCCAUUUAAAGUGGUACGCGAGCUGGGUUUAGAACGUCGUGAGACAGUUCGGUCCCUAUCUGCCGUGGGCGCUGGAGAACUGAGGGGGGCUGCUCCUAGUACGAGAGGACCGGAGUGGACGCAUCACUGGUGUUCGGGUUGUCAUGCCAAUGGCACUGCCCGGUAGCUAAAUGCGGAAGAGAUAAGUGCUGAAAGCAUCUAAGCACGAAACUUGCCCCGAGAUGAGUUCUCCCUGAGACUUAGAGUCUCCUGAAGGAACGUUGAAGACGACGACGUUGAUAGGCCGGGUGUGUAAGCGCAGCGAUGCGUUGAGCUAACCGGUACUAAUGAACCGUGAGGCUUAACCUU
Molecule: ribosomal RNA, 660 nt
Filed under: Escherichia coli
Lineage: Bacteria; Pseudomonadati; Pseudomonadota; Gammaproteobacteria; Enterobacterales; Enterobacteriaceae
Also listed under: 8 other names
Description: partial 23S ribosomal RNA
Rfam family: Bacterial large subunit ribosomal RNA
Source: RNAcentral